This 330-nucleotide ribosomal RNA is filed under the name uncultured eukaryote. RNAcentral's name for it is "partial 18S ribosomal RNA". It matches the Rfam family "Eukaryotic small subunit ribosomal RNA", at positions 1470 to 1796 of the family's 1831-position model. The record is from RNAcentral.
CCCUUAGAUGUUCUGGGCCGCACGCGUGCCACACUGAUGCAUUCAACGAGUCUAAAACCUGGUCUGAUAGGGCUGGGUAAUCUUUUGAAAGUGCAUCGUGAUUGGGAUAGAUGAUUGCAAUUCUUCAUCUUCAACGAGGAAUGCCUAGUAAACGCAAGUCAUCAGCUUGCAUUGAUUACGUCCCUGCCCUUUGUACACACCGCCCGUCGCUCCUACCGAUUGAAUGAUCCGAUGAAUACCAUGGAUUGAGAGUACGAAUAGGUUCGCUUAUUUCUGCUGCUCGAGAAGUGGAGUAAAUCUUAUCAUUUAGAGGAAGGAGAAGUCGUAACA